AUUAAGUUACAUGUGGGUGGGUGCCGUAACAGUGCAGCAACCAUUCUGCUAGCUUGUGCAAGAGUUUAAAAGUGGUGAAACUUUUAUUUGGAUAAUCGAAUUGGUUGAGGAGUCUAACAAGUGAUAGUAGCUAAAGAGGCUAGAGGGACGCUAGAAAAAGAACAAACCAUGAGCGUAUGAAAUUACUUUAAAACAAUACCCCAUGCCCCAUGAACUAUUAUUCUUCUUCCUCUCUUGUAGAUGAGGCAUUCGGUAUCUUCCUCUACUUUAUCUUCUUCAGUGUCCUUCACUACUACAACUUCUCCAAGCUUCCUUCCAAAUUAUGCUAUCUAUUUCACAUUACGGGGCUUCCGAUUCAACUAAUUUUAAACACAGAAUCCAAAGCCUGCUUGACAACAAAAUGCACAUCUAGAGGAAAUCAGAUUCACCAAAUUCUAAAAAUUAGAAAUCUCAACUUGCCUUUAUUUUAAGCUUCUCACAUCCCACCAUUUUCAUCCAAAGCCUGCUAGACAACCAAAUGCACAUCUAAUCAGAGAUAAAGGAAAACUUGAGGGAUACGUAUAUUUGGAAGCAAUAUGAUCCUGACAUACAUUAUGUGUAUGGUCCUCACUCUUGAGAUGCGUGUUGAAAUCUUCAAAGCUUUGGCCAGCAAAAUCGCACAUUGAGCAGCACGACCAGGGAGACUCACCCGUUUCACUUCACUUGUCCUGAAGAACAAGUCUUGUUGUCAACUUUUUAUCCCCUGCAGACCCUGA
Long non-coding RNA from Arabidopsis thaliana (thale cress), 755 nucleotides. RefSeq annotates it as other RNA. The record is from RefSeq. The transcript has a single exon. NCBI's taxonomy places the organism in Eukaryota, Viridiplantae, Streptophyta, Magnoliopsida, Brassicales, Brassicaceae.